Non-coding RNA from Panthera uncia (snow leopard), 85 nucleotides. NCBI's taxonomy places the organism in Eukaryota, Metazoa, Chordata, Mammalia, Carnivora, Felidae. The record is from the annotation of a RefSeq genome assembly.
GCCUGGGUAGCUCAGUUGGUUAAGCGUCCGACUGUAGCUCGGAUCAUGUUCUCGUGGUUCAUGGGUUCAAGCCCCACGUUGGGCU